UACGAAGGGGGCUAGCGUUGCUCGGAAUUACUGGGCGUAAGGCGCACGUAGGCGGUCUUUUAAGUCGGGGGUGAAAUCCUGGAGCUCAACUCCAGAACUGCCUUCGGUACUGGAAGACUCGAGUCCGGGAGAGGUGAGUGGAACUGCGAGUGUAGAGGUGAAAUUCGUAGAUAUUCGCAAGAACGCCAGUGGCGAAGGCGGCUCACUGGCCCGGUACUGACGCUGAGGUGCGAAAGCGUGGGGAGCAAACAGG
This 253-nucleotide ribosomal RNA is filed under the name uncultured bacterium. RNAcentral describes it as "partial 16S ribosomal RNA". It matches the Rfam family "Bacterial small subunit ribosomal RNA", at positions 524 to 776 of the family's 1533-position model. The record is from RNAcentral.